GAUGAACGCUGGCGGCGUGCCUAAUACAUGCAAGUCGAGCGAACAGACGAGGAGCUUGCUCCUCUGACGUUAGCGGCGGACGGGUGAGUAACACGUGGAUAACCUACCUAUAAGACUGGGAUAACUUCGGGAAACCGGAGCUAAUACUGGAUAAUAUAUUGAACCGCAUGGUUCAAUAGUGAAUGACGGUUUUGCUGUCUCUUAUAGAUGGAUCCGCGCCGCAUUAGCUAGUUGGUAAGGUAACGGCUUACCAAGGCGACGAUGCGUAGCCGACCUGAGAGGGUGAUCGGCCACACUGGAACUGAGACACGGUCCAGACUCCUACGGGAGGCAGCAGUAGGGAAUCUUCCGCAAUGGGCGAAAGCCUGACGGAGCAACGCCGCGUGAGUGAAGAAGGUCUUCGGAUCGUAAAACUCUGUUAUUAGGGAAGAACAAAUGUGUAAGUAACUAUGCACGUCUUGACGGUACCUAAUCAGAAAGCCACGGCUAACUUCGUG
This 497-nucleotide ribosomal RNA is filed under the name uncultured bacterium. RNAcentral describes it as "partial 16S ribosomal RNA". It matches the Rfam family "Bacterial small subunit ribosomal RNA", at positions 28 to 507 of the family's 1533-position model. The record is from RNAcentral.